Molecule: non-coding RNA, 348 nt
Organism: Vicia faba (fava bean)
Lineage: Eukaryota; Viridiplantae; Streptophyta; Magnoliopsida; Fabales; Fabaceae
Source: the annotation of a GenBank genome assembly
AUGACUACUACUAUUUAUACUAAAACAUCCCAAGUAACCGUCGGGCAGUUACACUGCUUCGAGAUGAUUCCACUUGGCACGUUCUCAACGUUCGACGCUCCAGAUCUUUGCACGCUACACGUGGUAACUGCUGGAAACCGUUUUCUCUCCAAAAGCUUGAAUUUCAAACUGCUCCACUCUGAACCAUCGAACACUUUCGUCGAGAGAUAUCUUCGACGAGAAACUCCUUCGACGUCGAAGGCAACCAACUUCUACCUUGGAAGAAAUCUUCUAAGUACUUUGCCAUCUUUCGACGGGCAUUUCGACAGACUUAGCCAGUCGAAAACAUCCUUCAGCUUUAAUGGCUGA